UGGGGAAUAUUGGACAAUGGGCGAAAGCCUGAUCCAGCAAUGCCGCGUGAGUGAUGAAGGCCUUAGGGUUGUAAAGCUCUUUUACCCGGGAUGAUAAUGACAGUACCGGGAGAAUAAGCCCCGGCUAACUCCGUGCCAGCAGCCGCGGUAAUACGGAGGGGGCUAGCGUUGUUCGGAAUUACUGGGCGUAAAGCGCGCGUAGGCGGCUUUGUAAGUUAGAGGUGAAAGCCCGAAGCUCAACUUCGGAAUUGCCUUUAAGACUGCAUCGCUAGAAUCGUGGAGAGGUAAGUGGAAUUCCGAGUGUAGAGGUGAAAUUCGUAGAUAUUCGGAAGAACACCAGUGGCGAAGGCGACUUACUGGACACGUAUUGACGCUGAGGUGCGAAAGCGUGGGGAGCAA
This 399-nucleotide ribosomal RNA is filed under the name uncultured bacterium. RNAcentral's name for it is "bacterial SSU rRNA". It matches the Rfam family "Bacterial small subunit ribosomal RNA", at positions 355 to 771 of the family's 1533-position model. The record is from RNAcentral.